RNAcentral lists this ribosomal RNA (166 nucleotides) under Pseudopithomyces chartarum. RNAcentral's name for it is "5.8S ribosomal RNA". It matches the Rfam family "5.8S ribosomal RNA". Rfam says of the family: 5.8S ribosomal RNA (5.8S rRNA) is a component of the large subunit of the eukaryotic ribosome. Lineage: Eukaryota; Fungi; Ascomycota; Dothideomycetes; Pleosporales; Didymosphaeriaceae. The record is from RNAcentral.
AACUUUCAACAAUGGAUCUCUUGGCUCUGGCAUCGAUGAAGAACGCAGCGAAAUGCGAUAAGUAGUGUGAAUUGCAGAAUUCAGUGAAUCAUCGAAUCUUUGAACGCACAUUGCGCCCCUCGGUAUUCCGUGGGGCAUGCCUGUUCGAGCGUCAUCUACACCCUCA